GACGAACGCUGGCGGCGUGCCUAAUACAUGCAAGUUGAGCGCUGAAGGUUGGUACUUGUACCAACUGGAUGAGCAGCGAACGGGUGAGUAACGCGUGGGGAAUCUGCCUUUGAGCGGGGGACAACAUUUGGAAACGAAUGCUAAUACCGCAUAAAAACUUUAAACACAAGUUUUAAGUUUGAAAGAUGCAAUUGCAUCACUCAAAGAUGAUCCCGCGUUGUAUUAGCUAGUUGGUGAGGUAAAGGCUCACCAAGGCGAUGAUACAUAGCCGACCUGAGAGGGUGAUCGGCCACAUUGGGACUGAGACACGGCCCAAACUCAUACGGGAGGCAGCAGUAGGGAAUCGUCGGCAAUGGACGAAAGUCUGACCGAGCAACGCCGCGUGAGUGAAGAAGGGUUUCGGAUCGUAAAACUCGGUUGGUAGAGAAGAACGUUGGUGAGAGUGGAAAGCUCAUCAAGUGACGGUAACUACCCAGAAAGGGACGGCUAACUACGUG
RNAcentral lists this ribosomal RNA (497 nucleotides) under uncultured bacterium. RNAcentral describes it as "partial 16S ribosomal RNA". It matches the Rfam family "Bacterial small subunit ribosomal RNA", at positions 28 to 507 of the family's 1533-position model. The record is from RNAcentral.